CAGAUGAGCUCACAGUGCCUGCACUUUACCCCAGUAGCCCUGAAGUGUGGGCCCCGUACCCUCUGUACCCAGCGGAGUUAGCGCCUGCUCUACCUCCUCCUGCUUUCACCUAUCCCGCUUCACUGCAUGCCCAGAUGCGCUGGCUCCCUCCCUCCGAGGCUACUUCUCAGGGCUGGAAGUCCCGUCAGUUCUGCUGAAUAUCAUGUCCCAGGUGUGUGAUGGCGGCUGCAAUCUGUCUUGUGGGUAUUAAUGCAAUCUUCCAUGGUGGCUACUGUUCUCUAGCUGUUCUACAAAACUGGAGCGUGCUGGCUUGAAAAAAACCGUGCCCAGUUUUGAUCCCUUCAAGACUUUGCCACAGCCUCUAUCACACAUCUGUUUUUCUUGAAGAAAAAUAUAUAAUAAAAAUGUUUUACUCUUUUACACUGUAUAAUUGUAAGAAAUAGUGUGUUAUUUGUGAGUGCAUGGUCUGACAUUUCUGUACAGUUUGAAGAUAUUUUCAAACGAAACAUAAAGGAAGUCAACAAUAAAACCAAGAAAGUGAGUAUUUUUAUACCAGACAUUUUAAGUAUUAUGGGAUAGAUGAUCUUACACUGGGUUGGAUCACAAUUUUUGUGCUUGACUUUUGAAUGCCUGUAAUUAAAAAUAUCUAUUUUUUUCCUCU
Carlito syrichta (Philippine tarsier) is the source of this 661-nucleotide long non-coding RNA. RefSeq lists it as uncharacterized. The transcript is spliced from 4 exons. Lineage: Eukaryota; Metazoa; Chordata; Mammalia; Primates; Tarsiidae. The record is from RefSeq and is a predicted model, not a curated record.